RNAcentral lists this ribosomal RNA (585 nucleotides) under uncultured bacterium. RNAcentral's name for it is "partial 16S ribosomal RNA". It matches the Rfam family "Bacterial small subunit ribosomal RNA", at positions 355 to 1375 of the family's 1533-position model. The record is from RNAcentral.
UGGGGAAUUUUGGACAAUGGGCGAAAGCCUGAUCCAGCAAUGCCGCGUGUGUGAAGAAGGCCUUCGGGUUGUAAAGCACUUUUGUCCGGAAAGAAAUCCUUGGCUCUAAUACAGUCGGGGGAUGACGGUACCGGAAGAAUAAGCACCGGCUAACUACGUGCCAGCAGCCGCGGUAAUACGUAGGGUGCAAGCGUUAAUCGGAAUUACUGGGCGUAAAGCGUGCGCAGGCGGUUUGCUAAGACCGAUGUGAAAUCCCCGGGCUCAACCUGGGAACUGCAUUGGUGACUGGCAGGCUAGAGUAUGGCAGAGGGGGGUAGAAUUCCACGUGUAGCAGUGAAAUGCGUAGAGAUGUGGAGGAAUACCGAUGGCGAAGGCAGCCCCCUGGGCCAAUACUGACGCUCAUGCACGAAAGCGUGGGGAGCAAACAGGAUUAGAUACCCUGGUAGUCCACGCCCUAAACGAUGUCAACUAGUUGUUGGGGAUUCAUUUCCUUAGUAACGUAGCUAACGCAUGAAGUUGACCGCCUGGGGAGUACGGUCGCAAGAUUAAAACUCAAAGGAAUUGACGGGGUCAUAGCUGUUUCCU